UUCCACUAACUUCUCUCUCUUAGAAUCUGUUUGCUCUGUAGGGAACCAGCCAUUAUGUUAUGGAGACAUUCAAGCAGCCUUGAGGAGAACACACAUGGUGUGGAAAUGAGGACUCAAACCAACAACCAGUACCAACUUGCCAGCAUUGUGAAUUGGCCAGUAUGCACGUAGGUCUUCCAGCCUUUGAAACCAUCAGAUUCCUGAAGCCCUGAUCUGCAUUUUGACUACAACCUUGGGAGAGAUCUGGAGGCAGAACCACUUGAUUAAGCUGCUCCCACAAAACUAUUUGAACAGAGUUGCUGUAUACAAAGGCUGUACUCAUGGCAGGUGCAGAGACGUACCUACGCUGCCCUGGUGUUCUCUGGAUCCUUUCCGGGCCACAUCCCCCAGUGUCAUAUUGGAGGGAAGGAGGGAAGAAGGGCACUUGUGGUUGACCUGGAAACAGAAAUGGAUCUGCCUGAAGUCUCCACCACUGGCGGAGGAGGGAAGACUGACUGGGACAGACAUCCAGGAGGUGGCACUGUGGAGUGUUGGCUUGGUGAACUUGAUGACAGAGGGUGCC
This is a long non-coding RNA of Prionailurus viverrinus (fishing cat), 562 nucleotides long. RefSeq lists it as uncharacterized. The record is from RefSeq and is a predicted model, not a curated record. Lineage: Eukaryota; Metazoa; Chordata; Mammalia; Carnivora; Felidae. The transcript is spliced from 3 exons.